This 484-nucleotide ribosomal RNA is filed under the name uncultured bacterium. Its description in RNAcentral is "partial 16S ribosomal RNA". It matches the Rfam family "Bacterial small subunit ribosomal RNA", at positions 30 to 507 of the family's 1533-position model. The record is from RNAcentral.
AUUGAACGCUGGCGGCAGGCCUAACACAUGCAAGUCGAGCGGAUGAAGGGAGCUUGCUCCUGGAUUCAGCGGCGGACGGGUGAGUAAUGCCUAGGAAUCUGCCUGGUAGUGGGGGAUAACGUCCGGAAACGGGCGCUAAUACUGCAUACGUCGUGAGGGUGAUAGUGGGGGAUCUUCGGACCUCACGCUAUCAGAGGAGCCUAGGUCGGAUUAGCUAGUUGGUGGGGUAAAGGCCUACCAAGGCGACGAUCCGGAACUGGACUGAGAGGAUGAUCAGUCACACUGGAACUGAGACACGGUCCAGACUCCUACGGGAGGCAGCAGUGGGGAAUAUUGGACAAUGGGCGAAAGCCUAGUCCAGCCAUGCCGCGUGUGUGAAGAAGGUCUUCGGAUUGUAAAGCACUUUAAGUUGGGAGGAAGGGCAGUAAGUUAAUACCUUGCUGUUUUGACGUUACCAACAGAAUAAGCACCGGCUAACUUCGUG